GCUUGUGUUUUAAUAGAGAGUGGGCUGCUCGGUCGAAGUAUUUUUAGCUGCGGUAUUUAACUGUACUAAGGUAGCAUAAUAAUUUGCCUUAUAAAUUGAGGCUAGAAUGAAAGGUUUGACGAAGGUUUAUCUGUCUCUUUCUUAUUUAUUAGAAUUUAAUUUUUUAGUGAAAAAGCUAAAAUUUUUUAAAGGGACGAGAAGACCCUAUUGAGCUUAAAUUUAUAAGUAUUGUAGUAAUGUACUAUAAUAAUUUAAAAUUUUAAUUGGGGUGAUUAAGGAAUAAUUUGAAAAAUUAACUUCCUUAAAAAUAAAAUUGUUGGGUGAAGUAACCAAUUAUAUUGCUUAUAUGAAGUUACCAUAGGGAUAACAGCGUAAUUUAUUUAGAGAGUUCUUAUUAAAAAAUGAGAUUGCGACCUCGAUGUUGGAUUAAAGUUACCUUAAGGUGUAGAAGCUUUAAUAGGUAAAUCUGUUCGAUUUUUAAAAC
This 484-nucleotide ribosomal RNA is filed under the name Decorisepia madokai. Its description in RNAcentral is "partial 16S ribosomal RNA". It matches the Rfam family "Bacterial large subunit ribosomal RNA", at positions 1861 to 2594 of the family's 2925-position model. Lineage: Eukaryota; Metazoa; Mollusca; Cephalopoda; Sepiida; Sepiidae. The record is from RNAcentral.